Toxotes jaculatrix (banded archerfish) is the source of this 1964-nucleotide long non-coding RNA. RefSeq lists it as uncharacterized. NCBI's taxonomy places the organism in Eukaryota, Metazoa, Chordata, Actinopteri, Toxotidae. The transcript is spliced from 5 exons. The record is from RefSeq and is a predicted model, not a curated record.
UUCACCAGACAAGCCAAAACUGCUUCACCAGCUCUGGUCUGUGAAGCAGAAACUGAGAGUGAAGUUAGACUUUACACAGCUGCAACUUUAAACUGGGCUGAACUCAUCACAUCCCCACAGCACCAGUUUCACCCAAAGGACAGAGGCUGAACGUGAAACAGCUCCUGACAUCAGGACAUGGAUCCACAGCGAUGCAGCUCAGAAAGAGCACACUGAUUUGCUCUGCAGCCUAGGUGCGUGUGUGUUUGCGGGUGUUAGCAUGUGGACUAAUCCUAUAACAGAAGCCCCCUGUCAUGAGAAAGUACUCAGAGACUAAUGCAAUUACAGACGGAGAAAGAAACAGAGCUUCAGUGCCUUAUUUCCUCAGCUGGGAUCACGUCCGUGAAUCGGCGCUGGAAAAACUCUCAUCACUCAUCUCACGUCGUCAGAAUAAGACAGAUUUACAUGCUGAGUGUCUCUGUUAGUCACGAGGAUUCAUCCUCUGGGGAACGUGAUCUUGCCAGUCUGCAGUGAAGUGGUGGAUCAGCAGAGCGUCCACAGAACUGUGCUGCUCGAAUGUUUAACACCUGAAUAAUGUCUUAUCUCUACAAACUGUUCAACAAUCCAACGUCACUGCUUUCAGAAGAUCUUAACAACAAGCGUUUUUAUCUUAACUUGAGUCCAGCUGCUCUGUAAUUCUUCUUCUUCUGUGGUGGAAUCUCCCUGUGAGGCUCUAAACUGAGCCAACGAUCCUCACGUUGUCUGCAUGUGGUUUUCAACAGACGGCAGACCACUGAAUGAAAGGCACAUCACCAACCGCCUGCAAACAGAAAGCAGGGCACAAGAAGACCGCAACUACCUACAGGUCCACAUGAAAUCAUAAACCUGAUCGCAGGUCAGCAGACAAUCUGUCUGCAAGACAGCAUGUUCAAUGUUUACCUGACGGUCUGUAGGUUUACCUACAAGAUAUUGUACACCUGUAAAUCUGCCCACACGCAUGAAACUACCUACAAGUCUGACUCCAACAUCCACCUGUAGAUCUAAACGGUCAGCAGAAAAGUUUUUUUUUCCUCUUUCACUAAUAUUUACUGGGGGGUUAAACCUCGCGGCUCGUGUUCGCGCAUGUUGACAGGAUGUGGCCUCGCGCUCUCAGUGACUCACCUGUGUGAAGUUGCUUCUCUUCUCUGUCUUCGCCGGUGGAUAAAAGCGUCCUCGGUCCCACCGGAGACGAUCACACCUGAAGAGACGGAGCUCAGCACCGACAGCAGCUCCUCCUCCUCCUCCUCCUCUUCCUCCGCGGCGGCUCACUCUCCGCUCAUCGCUUCAGCUUCGGCGCCAACAAACUAAAAGCCAGGAGAGUGAGUGACAGACCUGGACCAGGACCACGACCCCGACCAGGACCACACCCUCCGGUCCCAGGUCAGACUGUGGUCACACCGCUCCCUGCAGCAGCUGAACUGCAGAGUUCCUGUUGUGUCUCCGGGCCUCCUGCAGAGGAGAGCUCCCCCACCUGGUGGACAGAGGCGGUAACAGAAGGAUUACUCUACGGGGGAAUCACCUCAAUGCACUAAACUGACAGGAUUCAAACAGUCGUUCAUGCCACAGGCGCUGAAAUGGUCCAGACCUGCAGGGACUGGACGUCUCCUCUGAAAGCUGCCAGCAGGACGUUCAUGAUCUGGUAUCCCUGCAGAGGAGAGGAGGCCUUUUAGAGACAGUCCUGCUGAUCUCAUUGAAAAGCAGUGAUAAACUGGUCUGGGAUCAGAGAUAACCUCAGAUUCAGCCUUCCACUGUCUGUAGGCCAGAAUCUGCCUGAACGGAGUCCUGAUGUCAAAACUGUGCAGCUGAAAGGCUGAAAUCAGCUCCUACAGACACAGAACUCCAUGUUGGAGGUGUUACCUGGCAGAAGUGGACUGCCCUCCAGGGAUUUCCACAGGCAUCUAACUCCGGAGAAAAUGCCAUCAGACCCAAAACACCUGGAACCACAG